AGUGAACGCUGGCGGUAGGCCUAACACAUGCAAGUCGAACGGCAGCACAGUAAGAGCUUGCUCUUACGGGUGGCGAGUGGCGGACGGGUGAGGAAUACAUCGGAAUCUACUUUUUCGUGGGGGAUAACGUAGGGAAACUUACGCUAAUACCGCAUAAGACCUACGGGUGAAAGCAGGGGAUCUUCUGACCUUGCGCGAUUGGAUGAGCCGAUUGCGGAUUUGCUAGUUGGCGGGGUAAAGGCCCACCAAGGCGACGAUCCGUAGCUGGUCUGAGAGGAUGAUCAGCCACACUGGAACUGAGACACGGUCCAGACUACUACGGGAGGCAGCAGUGGCGAAUAUUGGCCAAUGGGCGCGAGCCUGAUCCAGCCAUCCCGCGUCGGAGAAGAAGGCCUUCGGGUUGUAAAGCCCUUUUGUUGGGAAAGAAAAGCAGCAGGUUAAUACCACGCUGUUCUGACGGUACCCAAAGAAGAAGCACCGGCUAACUUCGUG
This 492-nucleotide ribosomal RNA is filed under the name uncultured bacterium. RNAcentral's name for it is "partial 16S ribosomal RNA". It matches the Rfam family "Bacterial small subunit ribosomal RNA", at positions 29 to 507 of the family's 1533-position model. The record is from RNAcentral.